RNAcentral lists this long non-coding RNA (1282 nucleotides) under Capra hircus (goat). Its description in RNAcentral is "lncRNA (ENSCHIG00010007492.1)". The record is from RNAcentral. Lineage: Eukaryota; Metazoa; Chordata; Mammalia; Artiodactyla; Bovidae.
AUUUUAUAUUUCUACCAGUAGUGUAUGAUGGUUCCAAUUUCUUCACAUCCUUGUCAACACUUACCUGCCCUUCUGGUUAUUGCAUCAUCAUGGGUAUGAAAUAGCAUCUCAUUAUGAUUUUUCUCUGAUGGCUAAUGAUGUCUAACAUUUUUUUAUGUAUGUAUUAGCCAUUUGUAUAUCUUCUUUUGAGAAAUGUCUGAUAAGAUCCUGUACCCUUUAAAAAUUGGGCUAUUUAAUUUUUUUUUUUUUUGAGUUGUAAGAGUUCGUUAUGUAUUGUUGAGACAAGUCCUUUAUCAGAUGUAUGUAAGUACAGUUCUCCCUAGAAUGAACUCCAAACCAGGUUUAAAGAACUCAAAUGCACUCAGACUCAGAGCUUGAGCCCAAGCCCUUCUUUUCUGCACCUUCAGAAGCCAGUGGUAACCAACAGAGGAGAGCCUUGCAAUAAGCAUCUGGCUGAAGUCGUGAGGCUUUACAUAUGUUAGCAAAUAUGGGAGGAGGCUAGGGAGGGCAUAGUCUCCUAGGGAGUGAGACGGAUUUUUUUCAGGGAGGUAAGUUGACUCACCAAACUGAAAUCGUGAAAGGGAUACUGAGUGUUGGGCGAUGGGAAAUCAAGUGAGGCAGCAAGGUUGGGGUACAGGUUAACAAGCAGAGGGGAGGUGGCAUCCUUAUGAAAGCUGGUCUGGAAGGCGUCCUCUUUCAGAAGGUUAAAAGAAAUAGCCAUGUUUGCUAUUAAUUUAAUCUUUAUUUUUCCUACCUGCUGAUGUGGAUGAUCCCGAAUUAUGCCUGGGAACAAUAUGUUCAUGUGAUGUAAAGAUAUUUGGGACACAAUGCCAUGGGGAGGAAUCAGGGAGGAAAGGAAGAAUAUACCCUUUGAUGCAAUCCUGCUUUGUCACUGUGGAGAAUCAAGCAGAAUUUAACUGAAUUAAAACCAGUUCUCUAAUGCAUCAGAUUAAAAUGCUGUAUAGAUAAUUCAGUACCAAACCACAUUUAAAAUACCACCUGUAUAAAACAUCAUACCAAUUUAAGCUGCUACCCACCCUAAAUUUAUUGCAUAGUAUUGGAAUGCAGGAUUGAAAAUUCACUUGUGAAAAUAUACAUAAAAUGUGACAUUAAAUAUAGUCUUUUAAAAGCUUAAAAAUCAUGGUAUCUCUUAACAUCUGGUAACUCCACCAAAGUAAAAAUUUAAAGGCACAUAUCCCCCAAAGACAAGAAGAAUGGAAAAGAAAGUGGUGGCAACAACAUUGUGGGAGGGAAAAUGCAAAUAGUGGAACCACAGAAAGCU